RNAcentral lists this ribosomal RNA (253 nucleotides) under uncultured bacterium. Its description in RNAcentral is "partial 16S ribosomal RNA". It matches the Rfam family "Bacterial small subunit ribosomal RNA", at positions 524 to 776 of the family's 1533-position model. The record is from RNAcentral.
UACAGAGGGUGCGAGCGUUAAUCGGAAUUACUGGGCGUAAAGCGUGCGUAGACGGUUAUUUAAGUCGGGUGUGAAAGCCCCGGGCUCAACCUGGGAAUUGCAUUCGAGACUGAAUAGCUAGGGUACGGUAGAGGGAAGCGGAAUUUCCGGUGUAGCGGUGAAACGCGUAGAUAUCGGAAGGAACAUCAGUGGCGAAAGCGGCUUCCUGGACCAGUACCGACGUUCAGGCACGAAAGCGUGGGGAGCAAACAGG